GAUGAGCAUGCGUCCCAUUAGCUAGUUGGUAAGGUAACGGCUUACCAAGGCAACGAUGGGUAGGGGUCCUGAGAGGGAGAUCCCCCACACUGGUACUGAGACACGGACCAGACUCCUACGGGAGGCAGCAGUGAGGAAUAUUGGUCAAUGGGCGCAAGCCUGAACCAGCCAUGCCGCGUGCAGGAUGAAGCAUCUAUGGUGUGUAAACUGCUUUUGUACGAGAAGAAACACUCCUUCGUGAAGGAGCUUGACGGUAUCGUAAGAAUAAGGACCGGCUAACUCCGUGCCAGCAGCCGCGGUAAUACGGAGGGUCCAAGCGUUAUCCGGAAUCAUUGGGUUUAAAGGGUCCGUAGGCGGUUUUGUAAGUCAGUGGUGAAAGCCCAUCGCUCAACGGUGGAACGGCCAUUGAUACUGCAAGACUUGAAUUAUUGUGAAGUAACUAGAAUAUGUAGUGUAGCGGU
RNAcentral lists this ribosomal RNA (461 nucleotides) under uncultured bacterium. RNAcentral describes it as "bacterial SSU rRNA". It matches the Rfam family "Bacterial small subunit ribosomal RNA", at positions 224 to 682 of the family's 1533-position model. The record is from RNAcentral.